UACAGAGGUCCCGAGCGUUGUUCGGAUUCACUGGGUUUAAAGGGUGCGUAGGUGGGUUGGUAAGUCAGUGGUGAAAUCUCCGUGCUUAACAUGGAAACUGCCAUUGAUACUACUGAUCUUGAAUUUUCUGGAGGUAAGCGGAAUAUGUCAUGUAGCGGUGAAAUGCUUAGAUAUGACAUAGAACACCAAUUGCGAAGGCAGCUUACUACAGGGAUAUUGACACUGAGGCACGAAAGCGUGGGGAUCAAACAGG
RNAcentral lists this ribosomal RNA (253 nucleotides) under uncultured bacterium. Its description in RNAcentral is "partial 16S ribosomal RNA". It matches the Rfam family "Bacterial small subunit ribosomal RNA", at positions 524 to 776 of the family's 1533-position model. The record is from RNAcentral.